Chenopodium quinoa (quinoa) is the source of this 578-nucleotide long non-coding RNA. RefSeq lists it as uncharacterized. The record is from RefSeq and is a predicted model, not a curated record. The transcript has 3 exons. NCBI's taxonomy places the organism in Eukaryota, Viridiplantae, Streptophyta, Magnoliopsida, Caryophyllales, Amaranthaceae.
AUGAACAUAGUCACAUACCAUUGCAAUAACUGGUUUUGGAAGCUGCCUAAUUUGGACCUACUUGAAGAUGAGCACAAAAGUAAGUAAAAGAUGCAACUUUAUUGGAUUGAAGUUAAGAGAGAGAUCAAAGAUAUAAAUACACCUGCAAGUCCAAAACAUUAAGGCAGCCAAUUUGCUAGUUUUGGAAACGCCUCUUGCAUAUCCUUUGGAUUGGUUAACAAAUGGCUGCGAAGAUCACGGUUGUUCCUCUAAUAUUGGUCUCCAUUACAACCCCAUCGAUCUUCCUUAGGGUGUUUUUGAUCAAGCUACUUGAGAGUUAUUUUGAAGUGUUGCUGGCAAAGUGAAGAUCAAGUGUUGUUUCAGGUGAAGUGAAUAAAGUGAUGCAUUGGAGUCCCGGGAUUUGGUUUUCACUAAAUUAGGAAUUUGGUCUUGUAUCUAUUUUGAGUACUCAUAACAUUAAUUACUAUUGUGGUUAUUAUUAAUAAAGAAGAGUAUUUGAGUUUCCGCUACAAAGUAUUGUUAUUUAUAGUAAGUUGAGUAGCCUUGCGUAAUCACGCGGCGGUAAUACGCCUAAGUUU